Molecule: long non-coding RNA, 11367 nt
Filed under: Triticum aestivum (bread wheat)
Lineage: Eukaryota; Viridiplantae; Streptophyta; Magnoliopsida; Poales; Poaceae
Description: long non-coding RNA (TAES_LNC024047)
Source: RNAcentral
UUGUGUGCAACAAUGGCAAAUCUGAUUCAUAAAAAGGGGUCAUACAUUCCAACACCGCCAUUAUCCCGAUGAAGGAGCGCCCAGCUCAUCAAGCAAUGUUCUGAUAUUAUAGAAUUUCGGUUCUGGAGAACAUCCUGAAUAUACUAUCUGCUUCUUCCAUGGAUCUGCUUCCUCGAUGGUGCCAAUAUAUAUAUGGUGAUGCAUUCAAAUAUGUCAUUAGUUGACAAGACAAUAUCUUCUCUGACGACAUAGCUAUAUAGAUAUAGAUACCCAAUCCGACACUUUGUGCACCACACAAGCAAUCCAGUCAACAGCAACCAUCCUUCCUCGAUUGGAAGUUCUUAGGCGGACAUUAUUCGAUUAAAAAGUUCACAACGAAAUGCACAGGGAAGCGAAAGAACUACACUCCCAGAUUCAUCUUGUCGUCAUGUGCUUCAUUUGCAGCUUCACUGUUUGGGGCAGCCUCCGCAUCCCCCAUCUCAACAUCUGCCAUUGAAUAGCUGCGGGUGCUAGUAGGUGCGUCUAGUAAGGGAGCAACCCCAUUGUCAGUGUUGACACUCAUCAUCAUGGGUGGAUUUUGGGCUGUCUGGUGCAUUGGUCGACGGCAUACCUUGCUCAGUGGAACAAACUCCUGUCACGCGAAAAGAAAUGCCAAAAUAAAUUAUUUGGUAUAAACAUCAUAAAACAAACUAUACUCAUUAUGCUUUCCGGUUUAUUUGACUACAUAUAGUAAGAUAACUAGCCUAGAACAAAAAAAAAAGACAGUAUUUUACACUAUUCUUCCCCACCAAUCUUACGUGAACAUUCAGAUUUCUUUCAUUCGGUCAUAAAUUUUUUUGCAGAUUGGAAAUGAAAUCACAUAGAAAUUUUGAAGUAAGUUUGGUUCCCCACAGAAACAAGGAUGGGUUUUAAUGGGUAGGGAAAGGAUCGUGGCGAGCUACUCAGUUAUAGAUGUCCAGGCACGUUAUAAAUCAUAGGGAUGAAUGUCUGAUUUGGCAGACUUGGGUCGUAGUUGUAAUAAUAACUUCCAUGGAUGAAAUCGAAAAUCCAUUUCUAUUGUGAGGCCAACAGCCCUAUAACAGAACUGAAGCUCCAGGUCCCAAGCCUCAAUUAAUUCUGAUAUCCAACCAUGGUGUAACAAUGGAACCAGAGUAAAUGCAUGAACACUCAACAGUGUAGUACAGAAGGAGAAUUACCUCAGAGUGAUCAUGAUCAUAAUAAACAAGAAACCUGCAGCGGCACCCCCUUACGUCAUGCCUGCGCCUUUGAACUUGAAGAACAUGUGCAUCAACAUAGCGGGCCUGCUCUUUGCCUUCCUGUUUAGUUCAGCACAGAAAUCAACUUGAGUAAAUGAUAACAAUACAUUAUGAGACAGCUAAAACAACUUUCCCUCACUGUGUUAUUUACACCCAGCGACCAAAAAUCCUUACUCAGACCCUCAAGCAUACUCUACUUUGAGUAUAUAAUAUAAUCUUGAAAGAGCAGCAAAGUCAUGCACAUUUCCUCUCAAUGCUCUAAUUUAUCGGCAUACCGGUAUUUGUGCGCAAUUACCAACAUGAGGAUUUAUUGGAAAAGCUUAUUUUAUGAAAGUUGGUGUAUCCACUCUAUAAAUGACAAGAGAUAGGCUACAGCCUUCAUUUUGAAAAACAAAAAAAAAACUUUCAGUGCUCAAUUUAAUAAUAAAGUAAUAAUAAAAUUUAUUGGAUAAAUUCACACCCAAUUUGAGAAUAAAAAAUAGUUUUAGUAUUCAAAAGUAUGACAUAAUAAAAUGCAUUGCUUUUAUGGUCGUUUGGUAAGUGCUGUCAACCACAAUAGUUUGAAAACUCUCAAACUGGAAUCACAACUUUUAUAAGUAUAUACAAACAAGAAAUAGAGCUGUAGUACCUUGGGUGUCAACAAGGAAAAUCAACGUCUUUGUCAUGUGCAGUUGUGCACACAGUCAAAACAGAAACCUUUAAAGACUCUUGGCAGGCAAAAUCCAAAUGACAUACCCAUCACUACUCUAUCAUAAGCCAGCAAGUAACAGAAAGAAAGCAACCGUGGAAUAAUGGUUUAACAAGCUGAAUUUUCAAGUGCAUAACAAAAGGAAAAUGGAGAAGCUGUCAGGCAUUGGAUACAUAUUGUGUGGCUAAAAUAAACUGGCCAACAUAAUGUUUCACGAAGACAUGAAUUAUCAAGUUGUGAGAUGCUAACUUGCCAAGUCAGGUGAAAAGAAGUCGUUUAAGAUGGCUACCUUAAAGCAAAGAAUGGGAUCCCCAGGCAGCACAGCGACACAUUGAAGAGAACGCAGUCUCACACCUUUACAAACAUCAAUCCAUUCAUCCUCCUCAGGUCCAAACCAAGUAAAUCGAACUAGUACUUCCUGAAAUUUCUCCGUAGAUAAAAUAAAUAAAUAAAUAAAUACAAGCACAGUUGGCAUAAUGCACACGUAUUGAACCCGCUGUGGAGACUGAUUAAACACUAGAGGAACAUGGGUAUUGAAUAUUUCUCGAAAAUGAUUGAGGCUAGUUUUCACCCUUGACUAUGAAAAGAAGCGCAAACCACUCCUAACCACAUGUAUCACUUAGGACAGGAAGGUUUGUACAACUCCGCACCUGCCCAUUGGUGUCCGUCAAACACGUUUGCCUUACGCGCUUGCUACAUGAUGCAAACUUCUUUCUGUACUAUGGCUGUGACUUCUUCCUUUUGUGUGUGUGGAUGCAACUAAGAGUCUAAAACAGGACUACUACUGCUGUUGCGAUUCUCCGUAGAUAAAUGAAAGAGAGAAAUACUUGAAUUAUGGCAAAUCAUCCAACUCAGGCAGACACAUCACGAAACAAAGUUAGAAUGAUCAGUUAGUUAAUUUGGAAAUUAACACAGCAUGGAUGUUAGUUAAUUUGCAAAUUAACACAGCAUGCUUUACAGUUUGCAUAUGUACGAGUCCGGGUCUGCAAUUUGCUCCUGGCUAUUCAUUGAAAAAGAAACUCUUAUGCAAUUAUAUUGGUAUUGAAUGUUGUUGCUAGCUUGCUGCACAUUUGUUGUAUUACAUGUGAUGUUGCUAGGUUUGCUGCACAUUUUAUCAACCAUUUCUUCGCUUGAGAAGAAAGGGUCGUUAAAACAAAAUAGUAAUGUGACGAUAUCUCUAACAAUUAACGCCCUUCUUCAUCUAGGAUGAAAUAUCAGAAGAAAAAUAAAACAGCAAUCGAGCAAUCUACUGUCUCAAAACGCAUAGAUUAAAAUAUCCAAACUGCAACCUAGCAAAUGAGCAGUACUAUUUCUCUUGCCUCUUUCAUUAAGGAUGUACAAUACAAGAACCUAGCUAGGCACUUUGUCUCAGAGAUACCCCUCCUUGUGGCUGGCUGUGCAGAAGAGGAGCAGCCAGGACUUGAUUAUGAUGACAAAGUCCUGUGGCGCUGGGAAGACCAGAAGUUAACUUAGUAAUCCAUUUUGGAGGAGACUACUGUGCGAUUGCUGUCGUCAGGGCCAUGCCAUUGAUGAUUGGAUCAUGACAUCAUGAUUAUGACAAGCAAUGCAUGGUCGGGUGGCGCAGAUUGUGUCGCACGUUGUACGUUAUUGCACAUUCACACCAUAUAAAAAAUCAAAUAUUUUUCUUAUGCUGACUAUAGAUCAUGAGAUUGGUAGAAUGGGUAAGUGGGGUUCCAUGGUGGCAAUGCAGCUGAAUGCACUUGGUACAUUUCCAAGCUGGCAUGAAAACCACCAUUGCAGUUUGAUUCGCUUCAAUUUCUACAGCUCAAGGACGAUAAUUGAAGGUGGUGAACUAACUUUUUCCUUUUUGAAACUCAGACAUGUGUACAGAGCUAUAUAAUCAUUGAAAGAAACAUUCAAUUUAUGACAAAACAGAGAAAUUGUGAAAGCAAGUUUGAUACCACCAAUUAGCUUUCCAUAUAAGCCUAAAGUACAAAUACACAAGGUUGUUAAAGUGAUUCAAAAUGUUCUAACAUCAAUACUGUCACCAACUAUAAAAAGACAAGAACCAGAAUCAUCUCUACCUUUUGUGCUAGCUAUGUUCUUGAACAAAGAAUGGCAGAAAUGAAUUUACUAACAUCAAUCCUAUUUAACAAAAAGUUCUAUGGUCAUUACCGGGUCCCUCGUUUCAAUGAACCUGUGGUCCAUAAAGGCAGCAACAUCGUACCUGUAACAACAAGAAUUGGUCAAGCAUGUAAAACUGAAAGGUUCACUCAAGUAUCCCUCCCACCUCACACAAACCCACUCACACUCACGUGGAAAAUUAAAUCACAUACACAAAAACAGACCACAUGUGACAUGAAAUGACAUGAAAGAGGAAAUGAUGAAAAUACGUAUAUAUCUUCAUACCAUGCUCCAUUUCUAGCCGACUUUGCUUCAAACUGGACAUGACCACCAUCCGAAGAAAUAUUCCCUGAUUGGUAAUGGCAGUAUCAAUAAACCAUAAUCAACAUGAUAGACUAUAUGCGUUUAGUCAGUUACAAAACUAAAAUCUUACAAACGACAAACAUGAAAAUUGUGCCAUGUGGCCUAGAGUUAUGAAUAAAAGUAAAGGGAGCACAAACCACGUGUCCUGCAAUUGCCAAACUGAGUGUCAACAGCUGAGCCAGCGCGGCGAUAAACUUUUAAGGGCCCACAAAUACAAAGAAUUACAUUCUAGGCUAUAAAGUCCCAGAACCUGCCAACGAGAACUUUAAUCGAAAAUUUUGCCGGCUGUUGUGAAUAAAAGUAAUGGGCGCAGAAACAACCACCUGUCCUGGAAUAUCCCAAAUUAAGGGGCUUCAAUGACAGAGGCAAUGGACCGGCAUAUCUUGAUGUGCCCACAAAAAAGUACAGGAUAGGCUAACUGGCCAAAAUUAACUCGAUUGCCAUUGUUUGCCUGCAGUUGUGCAUAAAUGUAAUAGGCGCACGAACCACGUGUCGCGCAAUUGCUGAACUAGGCGUCAACAGGUGAGACAGCGCGGCCACAAGCUUCAUGAGAUGCAAAACCUUGUAACAACAUGCCCUAGACACUGAGAGAGGGACCCUUGCACCCAACGGGUGAGGCUAUGCAUAACUUCUGCAGCCCGAAACCUUUACCAAAUAGACCAUCAUGUAUCAUCGUAGCAACUUAAGAUUUGUACAAUUAAGUACAUGGUAAGGAAAUAAAGAGCUUAUUAAGUUAAUAUGGGGAUGCCAGCAGCACCUGAGUAGGAUCCGGCUACUGGGUGGUGUCCCUCGGCCACUGGGGGCAGCAUCAUCUUCCUGGACUGCUGCGACUGCGCGGCCCUCCGGUUAUGGAACCAAUUCCUCACCUGCGACCACCCAACACAAAUCCACACGUAUAGAUCCUGAUUGUACUGGGCGGGGACGCGGAUCUUGGGCAACGUACGAGGAGGGAAAACCUAGUAGUACCUGAUUGUACUGGACGGGGACCCUGCCGUCGCCGGUGCGGUCCGGGGAAGCGUUGAAGUGAUCGAUGAGGCCCUGGAUGACAGGACGCUUGGGCAUGGCGUCGAGGUCAUGGAGGACCUCCUCCAUCUUGGCGACCUCCGCCUGGGUGAACCGGAACACGAGCCUUGGCGGCUGCCCCGUCAUAGUUCCCCUGGCUGCCGCACCUGCCUACGCGGUGAGAUGAGCAGAGUCGUCGGAGAUGGAGAUGGAGAUGGAGAUGGAGAGGGGUGGGAGGGAGGAGAAGCUUACGUUACCAGUUGUGUGUGUCACCAGCGGCUGUGUCCAAGCUGGAUCACGCGGCCGAUGCAAAUACUGGAGGUGGGUGUGUCCAAGCUCCUUUUGGCACUUCUACUCACACGCACGCAACCUACUUUUGCAAUUAAUGUAGUGCUAUUAAUUCCAUUAAUUCCCCCGGAUAAAAACAAAUACUGUGGGCGCCAAUUCCGGUCAGAAUUGGUGCAAGUUCCAGCUGCCAGGUGUUUUGGGGUCCAAUGUAGUACGGGUCGGGUAGGUUCAGUGUGCCAGGUUGUGUAGAGCCGAGUCACUAGGUUGCUGCGGCGUAUACUUUGGCGUUGAGCUUACUUCCCUUGCAAGCGCGCGAUUCGCCAUAUUGGGAUUUACAAUUUACGUAAAGGGGUCAAAUCAUGGUCGCCCGUUUUUUUACUUAUUAUAAUUUUUUUGCGGGGAAAUCGUAGUCACCCAUGACCGCACCUAUCCCACGGGCAGUCGCAACUGGCCAGCGCCAGCGAUAUGCCGUCAUUGCGCUUAACCGCGAGCCAUGCGCAAAGACAAAUCGACCCGACCCUCCUCCACGAACCUCGCUGAUAGACGUCCCAUCCCUUCGCCAUUCUUAGCUGUAUAGUUAGUGUAGGAUUAAACCAUGUCUGAAAUAGUGAGGUCAGCCAUGAUGUCAUCAUAGGACAUGUGAUCAGCAGUGAUGUCAUCUAGGAAUUGACAUAAGCACUUAGGUCAUUUGUGUUAUAAGAGCACCACGAUUAAUACGCAGUUCAUCGGAACACCAUUUCAUCGCCGGAAAAAAUUACCAUAGUACAUAGGUGGAUCCGUUCGGUACGUCACAAUUCUUGGCGCACACUUGCCCCUAGAGCCUCCGGACCAGACGGUCAUGCUCCUUUGCAUGGCGGGCCGCCUUCACCUUAGCCGCCGCCUCUUUGUAUGCCUCAUGCUCCGACAAAUCGACGCUGAGUUGGAGCGCCUUAGCAUUCUUGCGGUCGAGGUGCCGCACAUCUAUCUCCGCCGUCGUGAGAGAGCGUCGAAGGGCCAACGCGAGGAGCACGGCCUUGGAAUCGACCGGCAUGCUGCUCGUGCCUUGGACUCGGGGGUCCUCAUGCACACCGGCGUUGAUGCGGGCACGAGGACCCAGUGGUGCCUGGCUACCACUUCCGGAGCAGAGGCGUCUAAGUCUCCGGCUAGAAGCUCCAUGGGGAGGGAGAGUCCGGCGGGAUUUGUCCUCCCGUCUUCGAAUGAAGUGGUCCGCGGAUCUGAGUCCCAGGCGGACAUGAGAGUCGACCCCUGGGCAGGAUCUGAUGGUAGAUCCGAAGAGCCUCCUUCGUGUGGGUGGGGAGCGGCGAUCGAGGCCGUGAACCCCUCGAAAAUCAACUCUCCUCAGACAUCGACGAUGUAGUUCAAACUUCCAAACCUGAUAUGGUGACCAGGGUCAUAGCUGUCGACCUACUCAAGGUGACCGGUCGAGUUGGCACGUAGCACGAAGCCGCCAAACACGAAAAGCUGACCAGGGAGAAAGGUUUCCCCGGAGACAGCGCCAUUGUCGACGAUGAGGCGAGCCAUCGAUUCUUCUGUCGACAACACAACGGUGCUCUCAAUGAAAGCACCAAUGUCGGUGCCAAAAUCGGCAGAUCUCGGGUAGGGGGUCCCAAGCUGUGUGUCUAAGGAUCGAGGGUAACAAGGGACAACAGGGACACGGUGUUUACCCAGGUUCGGGCCCCCUUAAAGUAGGUAAAACCCUACGUCCUGCUUGAUUGUAUUCGAAGAGUAUAGGGGUUACAAGAGUUGAUCCACUUCGAGAUCGUAAUGGCUAAACCCUAGCAGUCUAGCCUAUGAUUCUUCCCCUUCUACGGACCUUACCCUCUAGUUUAUGCACACACGUGAGUGGCCUAGGGUUGUAUAGAGUCGGUUUGUAGAGGAAGGAAUUAGUACGCCCGGACACCAAACUUUUCGUCCACGCAUAUAGGAGUCCUACCCCGACACGGGGGAUAAUCCUCUGCUUUGUCUUCACGACCCAUCAGUGCGACCCAUAUCGAGUAGACCGGACACCCGAGGACCCCCUAAUCCAGGACUCCCUCACCCCUUUCCACCCUUGCGGACAUUGCGGACCUUGAUUCUGGAGUUAUAUAUUAUGAUACACCGCCAAUGUAAAUACUAUCAUAUCGUUUGUCAACCAACGGUACCGGUGGAUGAGUACAACGACCUCGCAAGGGAACUAAAGCCUCUCCAUCAGGUCGUUCGAAUCUGGGAAGCUGAACAACAAGCCACAUUUUACACAGUCAAGGUGCAAUAGGGUAUCAAAUUCAUCGAAGAUUACCCCACGGAUAAAAUUAGUCCGCACUUUGCAGGGGGUUUCAAAAUGUUCAGCCUUUUCAUGAUUGAUGUAUGCUUCACAAGGCUUCGGGCACUUUAUAAUGCCAUGAAGGCUACACGUCUGAACUGUAACAUCAUUGUCAUACUUGAUCCUUAUCACACGCAGAGCAAAAAAGCAAGGAAAUCAUGAUAGGGUACCUUUGGAAUGACACACUUGCAUAUAAGGAGAAGGCAACAUACUUGUGCCCUACCGUUUCAUUUUAGUAAUUUUCUCCUUCACGCUCGCACAUAUACCGAACUUCAUGGGUUGAUACCACAUUGUUUCGUUCACUUGUUUGUGCAACGACAUCUACUUGGUCUUUAAAACAAUAGUGCAGGAACCCUUAUAUGAUUUUACUACUACCAGCGUGCAGGUAAAGCCAGACGAUGCCGCUAAAUUGGCAAAAUACCUGCCACGUGCAGAAAGAAAAGGGGCGCUACUGCUGCUUCAAGACUAGAGGCCAGCAGUAAAAUCACACACAUCUACUAUGGUACACAAAGGGAGCCUUCACGGCCUGAACUACCAGCAACGUGUAGAUAGAGGGAGAACGCUGCUAGUGCCCUAAACUUUAGCAGCGUGCGGGCUGCAGCAAAUGCCACUAACGAUAGUGCAUACCACAUUUGCAGGCCCACCUUUGUGGCUUCAAACAACUUGCAACGCAUACAGAUUAGCAUCAUGUGCACAUGUUGCGUGCUAAAGACAUGUUCCAAGUUAGCUGCUAAUAAACAAUUAUUUUAAUAUUUUAAAAUAAAAAACCAGCGAGCUGGUAUAUUUGAUUAUUUAUAUUACUUUUACCACAAACACCUAAAAGUACCCAAAAUGCAACACAAGAACCCAAAAUGUUUCUCCAAAACCAGCACUUCCCUCCUUCAAAACUACAUAUCUCCCCUGGAAAUCUUCAUUAAUUCGAUUUUAAGCAAGAUAUCACAUAACUUUCGUGUAAGACUUUGAAAUUUGAACCACAUUUUAAAUUAUCGCAUGAUGGCAGCAUGUAAAGUUGUUAUUACAAUCCUAAACCGGUAAUUCCUAGUAGGGCCUCUUUUGGUUCAUAGGAUAGGAUUAUCGUAGGAAUAGGAAUCUUGUAGGAAAUGAGAUGACAUGUAUCUCAAAUCCUAUGAGUAGGAAUAGGAAACAAGAUGUCAUUUGGUUGACACCAAAGGAAUUUUUUCAUUGAGUCUAGGCUCAUUUUUAUUUUCCUAUGAAAUGUGGAGGAUAGGAACCAAUCCUAUGUAGGAAUAGGAAUCCAUUCCUAUAAACCAAAGGGCUCUAAAGGAAAAAAUCCUAUAAGAAUCCUAUCCUCUAGAAUUCCUAUGAAAUUUCCUCCAAACCAAAGGAGGCCUGGAUGUGUGAAGCCAUGGAGGGAACACGGCUAGUGGAUGAUCUACUAGUGUGACGUGUAGGGUUCACACUGCUAAAUUUUGUAUUACUUUUACCGAAACACGUAAAGGUACAUUAAAAAAUUGGAAUAGAGGAUCCCAUCUUUGUGACCAAAAAAUUAGAACACAAGACCCACCGAAAUGGUGUGGUCGUGCCCAUUGUCCGAAGUCUCCACUCCGGCUACCAAGGGGGUCCACCUUCACCCACCUUGCACCUUGCGGUCAACCGUGAGCAGGCAUCCGUCCACCCCAGCUGCCGCACUAGCUAAACUCCGCCGCCCACCACACCCACAACUUUCAGCUUGCGCCCGCACGGAAGUGAACCCUAGUUCUGGGUUACCGAGUGCCCAGAUGUAGCAACAAGGGCACCUACUAGGUGUGCGCCAUGCCGAAGGAAGCUAUUGUCUCGUUUCAAGAGCCUAUUGGAUUAGAUGGAUCCAGCCUCCAGCGGCAGCCAGGAACCCCCUAACGACCGCCGCCAACCCAUGAGUAGUUGUGAUAACAUGACCGGUGGUAGUUGCCCGCCUCACACACAUGCCUGACGAGGGCCGUGCCGCCAUGAAGUAGGCAAUGGCUGGCCGAGAACGAGGUACUCUGUAGGGGUGAGAUCCGUACCUAGUUGUCGUGUGUGAGAGAGGGAGCACACCCGGGUAGUAGGGGGAAGAGAAGGUGGAGGAGGUGCCUCACUGCCGCCGCGGGAUGGCCGCAGGCUACCGGCGGCGAGGGACGGGAGAGCGAAGGAGAAAUUGGUUAGGAUGGCGGCGACACUUGCCAUGUGAGUCACAGGAGCUAGCCAGGAAAUGUGAGCAAAAACUUAGUUCUGAUAUACUAAACUGAAUUGCAAAUAUGAUUGUACUUCCGAUUUCUAUGUCUCUUCUUUUCUGAAAUUUGGUGGGGGAUGGUGAUGAAAAUCACCAUGUUAAAGCAAUUCAAAAUCGUCUUAUAAUAAAUUGGUUUUUCUCGUCUUUGUCCUUUCUCCAAAAAAAAUGUGUUUGUUUGCAACACUGGCAAACCUGAUUCACAAAAAGGGAUCAUACAUUCGAACGUUGCUAUUAUCCCCACGAAGGAGCGCCCAUCCCAUCUAGCAAUAUUGUGAUGUCACUGAGUUUAGGUUUUGGAUGCCAUUAUCCUGAUGAAAGGAGAGCGUUAGAUGUCCAGGUAGAGGAAGAGGACAAAGGACGAUCUAUAUAGAGAUCCCUUAUUUCACGAGAUGUAUAGACGGAUCUUGUAUUUGGAGGGCCUUCCAUGGGAUAAAAUUGCAGUUCAACUUCAAAUAUUUUUUAUUUUGAUUCUCCAAUAUUUUAUUUAAGAGAGGGUGUAGUGAAGCACAACCCACACCCCAAAAGACAAUACCACCACAAAACAAUAUCUUCUCUGACAACAUAGCUAUAAAGAUAUAGAUACCCCACACAAGCAAUCCAGUCAACAUGGGCACGUUAUAGUUAUUGGGCCACUAACCAUCCUUCCUCGAUUGGAAGUUUUUGGGCGAACAUUUUUUUCACUAAAAAGUUCACAAGGAAACGCACAGGGGAGCGAAAGAACGACACUCCCACAUUCAUCUUGUUGCCAUGUGCUUCAUUUGCAGCUUCGUCGUUUGGGGCAGCCUCUGGAUCCUCCAUCUCAACAUGUGCCAUUGAAUUGCUGCGGGUGCUAGUAGGUGCGUCUAGUAAGGGAACAACCGGCUUGUCAGACGCCUCUCCUUGAUCUGGUGGAAUGGGAACCCCACCCCUCGUCACCUUGUCAGUGUUGACAUCCAUUAUCUUGUGUGGCUUUUCGGAUAUUUGGUGCAUGUGAUCAGUUUCUGGUCGACGGCAUACCUUGCUCAGUGGAACAAACUCCUGUCACAUGAAAAGAAAUGCAAAAUUAAAUUAUUGGGUAUAAACAUCAUAGAACAAAGUAAACUCUUUACUCCGCCUUCUGUUUUAGUUAACUGCAUAGUAAGAUAACUAGCUUAGAACAAACAACAUAGUAUCUUGCACUGUUCUUCCCCAUCAAUAU